AAAUAAUUGACAUAUGAAAACAUUCAGUUGCAACGUUCAGUUCUAUUUAGGCAAAGUCUUAGUUAGGCCUUCCCUGGUUCCCAGCCUCUGUAAGCACGUUCUCUCCAUAGGUAUAGCCAUUGAACUUGAGCUUGCAGGCUCAGCAUGAUCCUAAGCUCUACAAGAAUCUUAACUGUAGGAGGAAGAAGCUAAAGAGCUUUAGUCCAAGGCUCUGGAACUUAGCAUCAAGCCCUACCCUGACCUAACGCCUUUUGUUUAUAGAUAGGGAAUUGUCUUCUCCCAGAGACCCACUUCCUGCAUUUUGUACCCGUGGGGAUAACUGAGACUUGUCUUGCUGGCACAUACCCCGUCCACCUAGCCCUGAGGCUCUUCCUUUCUCUCCCCGUUGUCACUUUUGGAUUUAAUUAAGGACUGGAAUCCCUCAAAGCCUACGUGGUACGUGGGGCCCUCCCGGACACUGGUAGGUUUUGUUAGUGUCAACUAUGUAGCUCUUGGGUGCUCCAGAUAUCCCUUGCUCCUGUAUCUUGCAUUCCAGUGUCCUGCAUGCCUAUCCAGGCAUUCUUUUACCUCACGGUGGACUGACUCCACUCCAAGGGCCUACUCUUUGCUGGUUCCCCCUACUUUCUGGACACCCUGUUAUGCCUGGGUCUGGAUUUUCUUGUGGCAUCUCCCUCUGAGUCUGUUUCCACCCCAAGCUUGAGUCUUUCGGCAAGUCGGAAGCACAGGACCAAUAGAGCUUUUUGAGCUUCUGAUAGAUGUAUGUCACAUUUCGUAUGUUGUCAACGUCUGCAGAUGUUUGGACCCUUCCUGCUUGUCGGCCACUUCACGCCUAUUGGAUAAUUUUUUUUUUUUUUUUUUUUUUACAUAGAGUCCAAAGGAAUAUCUUGUGACUUAGCACCAAGUCUGAAUGUGCCUCAUUGGAAGUUUGCAAACUGUGCUGUGCUGACUUAUGUCCGUACUUUGUCCAAAGAGCAAUUCACUAAUAUGGACCCGUUUUCAAUUCUGCGGAGGUUUUCCGAAUAGUAAAUGUUUGUGGAUUUGAACUUGGUUAGACACUGACUGUCCCAGAAAUGUUAAAGCGAGUGAUCUUUUUACCGCUUCGUUCAUUCAUUCACUCAUUCAUUCACUCACUGCAGACCGCGGACCUUUCUGACCCUCAGUUCACCCCGUUGUCAAAUGGUUGUGAAGGUUACCGACAGCGUAGGUAAGAUACUUUCAGAAAUUAGAAACUAAAAACUAAAAAUAACAGAAAGCACUCACUGUUCUGAUCGCCUACGGUGUAAUCUGGAAUUGAGUGCCCUGUUCUGCCUUCAGACCUGCUGUAGAACAUGCUGUCGUUUGCUGUUCGACUUGUAGCAGAGUUUAGAGUUUUUCUCACAGGUACAGCUCCCUGUGCUUGAUUCUGUGUGGAAAUCGUAGCUUUGAGCUGCACUCUUCUCUCUCUCGGUUCUCGUUUGGAGUUUUCUAAGAGGUAAAUACAUGCUGUCAAGCUCUAGCGUGAUACCUGUCACAGGAUAGGAAGCCAAUCCAAGUUUCACUCUAAGUGGGGAGUGUAGGUUGCUACAGUGUGUUUGGAGGGUGAUUCGACAGUACUUUUCCAGAUUUUCAGUUUGCAUAUCCUUCUUUCCAGCAGUUCUACUUCUGGGACUUGCGAUAUAGUUGUCUACAUGCAUGAGGAUGUUUACAUUGCAGCCUGUCUGUUAACAGAGGACAAAGAAACUGAACACAACUAAAAGCCCCUGGACAGUGUCCUGGUUAUGUAAAUUAUGGUACUUAUAAUCACUGGAAUACUAUGAAGCCAUUAACAAGAAUAGAACGGACGUAUGCCUCAAUUGACUGGGAAAUGCACUGUCCGAGGUAUAUUGUAGACUAGGUAUAGUACGCUGCUUUUCUGUAAAACAGAGGAUAUGCAUAGAGGUAGAAAGAAGCGUUUGUAUACAGUAUACGAUGUGUGAAUGUGAGCUCUUGGAAGAUAUCUGGAAGAACCACACAAGGAACUGGGGGAGUGGGACUUGACUGUUCCUUCCCGGUCCUGGACUGCUGGAAAUCUGCAGGCGAUGGCGUACACGCCCCCGUCUGCAUGAGCUGUGCUAGCGGCCUGCGGCGAGAGAGGGCGCCGUAGCCAGCAGAGUCCUGUUUCCUAGCGGAGCAUCUCAGGCCUCCGGCGCGGUGACGUCCUGGGGACGGGCGGUGGCGCAUGCGCGGUUGGAAGGCUGCUGGGCGCCGAGCGGGCUGCUGCGCGGGCGCUUGCGGGCCGGGCUGUUUUUCCGGCAGCGAGGGCGCUGGAGUGGCGGCUUUGGCGCUGUUGGCGUUGGGUGGUGGGCCUGUUGGGGCCCACGUGAGCCGAUGGCAUCACGCCCGCGGCGGCCGGGGCCAGGGGCGCGUCUUUUCCAGACUUGGCACGUCCAGGAGGCGGGGCGGAAACCACAUCCCCGAAAGAGUUUGGAAGGCAGUCUUGCUCCGGGAGAACUUUCCUUCUCCCUUGAAUCUUUUUAGCAAAAUCCAAGAACGGAGUGAAGAACUUGGACUGACGAUUGUUUGAAGCUACACUCACCGCUGUUGUAAAGCAGAGCCUGUGAAUCUUGUUACCUCUGCGGUCUGCCUGCCUGAGUUGAAACCCCGGCUCUCGCACUAGCGAGCUCUUCGUCUUGGGCAAAUUCUUGACGCUCUCCAAGCCUGUCUCCUCAUCUGUGAAAUGGGCUGCCCCACAAGGCCUAGCACGGAGCGCCUGUGGACCCCUGGGCGCCUGCGUCCUGCGCCGUUGGAGUGGCGACUCGGUGCACGUGUGUGUCCCCCGCUGUCACCCCGUGGGAUGGACGCCUUCCAGCGGAUUUUUCUCCUGCGGUUUGGGUGAUGGCGAUGUUUGGAGAAGACAGCAACUGGCCGAUUGGAUGGAGGAGGACCUGGCGGGCCCCUCAAGUCAUUAUUUAUGAAGAGACAUAUUUCUAACGAAGAUAUACAGGUGGGCGACAGGCACAGGAAAAGAUGCUCAACGUCACUACUUAUUAGGAAAAUACAAAUGAAAAGCACAAUGAGAUACCCACCUCAGGCCGGUCAGAAGGGCUAGUAGAAAAAGACAAGAAUUAACAGGUCUUGGAAGUACGUGGUGCAAAGGGAACCCUAGUACCCUGCUGGUGGGAGUGUAAAUUGGUACAGCCGCUGUGGAAAACCGUAUGAAGAUUUUUCAAAAAGUUAACAAUAGAACUACCCCGUAUGAUCCAGCUAUUCCACUUCUGGGUGUUCAUCCAAAGCACACAAAAGCGCUAAUUCAAAAAGAUAUAUGAACCCCUGUGUUCAUCGCAGCGUUAUUCAGAACAGCCAAGACUUGGAAACAACCUAAGUGCCCAUCGCCCGACAAAUAGAUAAAGAAGUUGUGGGAGAUAUACACAAGGGAAUAUAGUACUUAGCCGUAGAAAAGAGGAAAUCUUGCCAUUUGCGACAGCAGGGAUGGACCUCGGGCGUAUUACGCUAAGCGGGAUGAGUCAGGUGGAGAAAGACAGAUACCGUGUGACUUCACUCGUGUAUGUGGAAGGUAAACAAGCAAACACAUAGAGACAGAACAGACUGGUGGUUAGCAGAAGGAAAAGGGCGGGAGGAGGGGGAAGGGGGAUAAGGGGCAGCUGUGUACGAUGACGGAUGGCAGUUAGAGCUGUGGCGGGGAACACGACGUAGUCUGUGCAGAAGGCGAACUAUAAUGAUGCACAUCGAAGAAUAAAAUCUAGGCCCCUUCCAGAAGUUGGAUGCCGUCCACCAGUAAGCUCCGGAUGCUGUGCUCUGAAAGCCGGGUGGGUCCCCAACAGGCGCUAGCCAGUACUGAGGACUGCCCUGGCGUAGAGGCCCCUCGGCUUGAGGCCUUGCUCCUUCGCGUGCAGUGUGAGCUGAGCCCACUGCUGACCCUCAGUGGUGAAGUGGCUCAGUGACCCUGGCCUUGCAUGUGGUGGCAAAGGUUACGUGAGGUGGUGCGUUCGCGGGCCUGGUGCGCAGGUGUUGAGGAAAUGGUGAUUUCUAUCCCA
Molecule: long non-coding RNA, 4013 nt
Organism: Diceros bicornis minor
Lineage: Eukaryota; Metazoa; Chordata; Mammalia; Perissodactyla; Rhinocerotidae
Exons: 4
Source: RefSeq, a predicted model, not a curated record